GUUGUAUGGUCAAGUAAUGAAGUGCACAUGGUGGAUGCCUUGGCAGUCAGAGGCGAUGAAAGACGUGAUAGCCUGCGAUAAGCGUCGGUGAGGUGGCAAUAUCCUGUGACCCGGCGAUUUCUGAAUGGGGAAACCCACCUAAGAUAACUUAGGUAUCAUAAUUUAUUUUAUGAGGCGAACCGGGAGAAGUGAAACAUCUCAGUACCCCGAGGAAAAGACAUCAAUUGAGAUUCCCCAAGUAGCGGCGAGCGAACGGGGAGUAGCCGAUUAGAUUUGUAGUAGCAAAAUGGCGUGGGAAAGCCAACCAUAGUAGGUGAUAGUCCUGUAUGCGAAACUGCAAUUUUAACAUAUUAAGUAGGGCGGAACACGAGAAAUUCUGUCUGAAGAUGGGGGGACCAUCCUCCAAGGCUAAAUACUCCUGACUGACCGAUAGUGAACCAGUACCGUGAGGGAAAGGCGAAAAGAACCCCUGUUAGGGGAGUGAAAUAGAACCUGAAACCGUGUGCAUACAAGCAGUCGGAGCGGACUUGUUCCGUGACGGCGUACCUUUUGUAUAAUGGGUCAGCGACUUAUAUUCUGUAGCAAGCUUAACCGUGUAGGGGAGGCGUAGGGAAACCGAGUCUUAAUAGGGCGUUUUAGUUGCAGGGUAUAGACCCGAAACCGAGUGAUCUAUCCAUGAGCAGGUUGAAAGUGCCGUAACAGGCACCGGAGGACCGAACCCACUCCCGUUGAAAAGGUAGGGGAUGACUUGUGGAUAGGGGUGAAAGGCUAAUCAAACUCGGUGAUAGCUGGUUCUCCCCGAAAGCUAUUUAGGUAGCGCCUCGGACGAAUACCUUGGGGGGUAGAGCACUGUUUCGGCUAGGGGGUCAUCCCGACUUACCAAACCGAUGCAAACUCCGAAUACCCAAGAGUACUAUCCGGGAGACAGACGGCGGGUGCUAACGUCCGUCGUCAAGAGGGAAACAACCCAGACCGCCAGCUAAGGCCCCAAAUUCCUAGUUAAGUGGGAAACGAUGUGGGAAGGCACAGACAGCUAGGAGGUUGGCUUAGAAGCAGCCACCCUUUAAAGAAAGCGUAAUAGCUCACUAGUCGAGUCGGCCUGCGCGGAAGAUGUAACGGGGCUCAAACUAGGAGCCGAAGCUGCGGAUUUAAUUGUUUCAAUUAAGUGGUAGGGGAGCGUUGUGUAAGCCUGUGAAGGUGUAUCGUAAGGUAUGCUGGAGGUAUCACAAGAGCGAAUGCUGACGUGAGUAACGACAAAACGGGUGAAAAGCCCGUUCGCCGGAAGACCAAGGGUUCCAGUCCAACGUUAAUCGGGGCUGGGUGAGUCGACCCCUAAGGCGAGGCCGAAAGGCGUAGUCGAUGGGAAAUCGGUUAAUAUUCCGAUACUUGUUUAUGAUGCGAUGGAGGGACGGAGAAGGUUAUGUCAGCCUGGCGUUGGUUGUCCAGGUGGAAGGAUGUAGGUAGGUUUAGUAGGCAAAUCCGCUAGACUAUUACUGAGAUCUGAUAGCAAGCCAGUUUACUGGCGAAGUGGCAAAUACCCUGCUUCCAGGAAAAGCUUCUAAGCGAUAGUCAUAAACAAAUCGUACCCGAAACCGACACAGGUGGUCAGGUAGAGAAUACCAAGGCGCUUGAGAGAACUCUGCUGAAGGAACUAGGCAAAAUGGUACCGUAACUUCGGGAGAAGGUACGCUGCUGAUGGUGAUAAGACUUGCUCUUUGAGCUGUUGGCAGUCGCAGAUACCAGGCUGCUGCAACUGUUUAUUAAAAACACAGCACUCUGCAAACACGAAAGUGGACGUAUAGGGUGUGAUGCCUGCCCGGUGCUGGAAGGUUAAUUGAUGGGGUUAGCGUAUGCGAAGCUCUUGAUCGAAGCCCCAGUAAACGGCGGCCGUAACUAUAACGGUCCUAAGGUAGCGAAAUUCCUUGUCGGGUAAGUUCCGACCUGCACGAAUGGCAUAAUGAUGGCAGCGCUGUCUCCAGCAGAGACUCAGUGAAAUCGAAAUCGCAGUGAAGAUGCUGUGUACCCGCGGCUAGACGGAAAGACCCCGUGAACCUUUACUACAGCUUUACAUUGAACUUUGACCUAACUUGUGUAGGAUAGGUGGGAGGCUUUGAAGUGGCGACGCCAGUUGCCAUGGAGCCAACCUUGAAAUACCACCCUGGUUAUGUUGGGGUUCUAACUUAGAUAUAACAGUAUCAAGGACAAUGUAUGGUGGGUAGUUUGACUGGGGCGGUCUCCUCCUAAAGAGUAACGGAGGAGUACGAAGGUGCGCUCAGAACGGUCGGAAAUCGUUCAAAGAGUAUAAAGGCAAAAGCGCGCUUAACUGCGAGACCCACAAGUCGAGCAGGUACGAAAGUAGGUCUUAGUGAUCCGGUGGUUCUGUAUGGAAGGGCCAUCGCUCAACGGAUAAAAGGUACUCUGGGGAUAACAGGCUGAUACCGCCCAAGAGUUCAUAUCGACGGCGGUGUUUGGCACCUCGAUGUCGGCUCAUCUCAUCCUGGGGCUGAAGCAGGUCCCAAGGGUAUGGCUGUUCGCCAUUUAAAGAGGUACGCGAGCUGGGUUUAGAACGUCGUGAGACAGUUCGGUCCCUAUCUACCGUGGGCGUUGGAAAUUUGAGAGGAUCUGCUCCUAGUACGAGAGGACCAGAGUGGACGAACCUCUGGUGUUCCGGUUGUUACGCCAGUAGCACUGCCGGGUAGCUAUGUUCGGAUGGGAUAACCGCUGAAAGCAUCUAAGCGGGAAGCCCACCUCAAGAUAAGAUUUCCCUAAAGAGCCGUUGUAGACUACGACGUUGAUAGGUUGGGUGUGGAAGUGUAGUGAUACAUGUAGCUAACCAAUACUAAUUGCUCGUUUGGCUUGACCAUACAACACCCAAG
Molecule: ribosomal RNA, 2876 nt
Filed under: Moraxella cuniculi
Lineage: Bacteria; Pseudomonadati; Pseudomonadota; Gammaproteobacteria; Moraxellales; Moraxellaceae
Description: bacterial LSU rRNA
Rfam family: Bacterial large subunit ribosomal RNA
Source: RNAcentral